This 497-nucleotide ribosomal RNA is filed under the name uncultured bacterium. RNAcentral's name for it is "partial 16S ribosomal RNA". It matches the Rfam family "Bacterial small subunit ribosomal RNA", at positions 28 to 507 of the family's 1533-position model. The record is from RNAcentral.
GAUGAACGCUGGCGGCGUGCCUAAUACAUGCAAGUCGAGCGAACAGACGAGGAGCUUGCUCCUCUGACGUUAGCGGCGGUCGGGUGAGUAACACGUGGAUAACCUACCUAUAAGACUGGGAUAACUUCGGGAAACAGGAGCUAAUACCGGAAAAUAUAUUGAACUUCAUUGUCCACUAGUUAAAGACGGUUUUGCUGUCACUUAUAGAUGGCUCCGGGCCGCAUUAGUUAGUUGGUAAGGUAACGGCUUACCAAGGCAACGAUGCGUAGCCGACCUGAGAGGGUGAUCGGACACACUGGAACUGAUGUACGGUCCAGACUCCGUCGGGAGGCAGCAGUAGGGAAUUAUUCGCAAUGGGCUAAAGCCUGACGUAGCAGCGCGGCGUGAGUGAUGAUGGUCUUCGGAUCGUAAAACUGUGUUAUUAGGUAGGAACAAAUGUGUAAGUAACGAUGCACAUAAUGACGGUACCUGAACAGAAAGCCACGGCUAAAUACGUG